RNAcentral lists this ribosomal RNA (118 nucleotides) under uncultured bacterium. RNAcentral describes it as "partial 16S ribosomal RNA". It matches the Rfam family "Bacterial small subunit ribosomal RNA", at positions 1367 to 1482 of the family's 1533-position model. The record is from RNAcentral.
UACGUUCCCGGGUCUUGUACACACCGCCCGUCACGCCACGAAAGUUGGCAACACCCGAAGCCGGUGGCCUAACCCGCAAGGGAGGGAGCCGUCGAAGGUGGGGUUGGCGAUUGGGGUG